UGACGCUCUAGAGAUAGAGUUUUCCCCUUCGGGGGACAAAGUGACAGGUGGUGCAUGGUUGUCGUCAGCUCGUGUCGUGAGAUGUUGGGUUAAGUCCCGCAACGAGCGCAACCCUUAAGCUUAGUUGCCAUCAUUAAGUUGGGCACUCUAAGUUGACUGCCGGUGACAAACCGGAGGAAGGUGGGGAUGACGUCAAAUCAUCAUGCCCCUUAUGAUUUGGGCUACACACGUGCUACAAUGGACAAUACAAAGGGCAGCUAAACCGCGAGGUCAAGCAAAUCCCAUAAAGUUGUUCUCAGUUCGGAUUGUAGUCUGCAACUCGACUACAUGAAGCUGGAAUCGCUAGUAAUCGUAGAUCAGCAUGCUACGGUGAAUACGUUCCCGGGCCUGUACACACCGA
RNAcentral lists this ribosomal RNA (400 nucleotides) under uncultured Staphylococcus sp. RNAcentral describes it as "bacterial SSU rRNA". It matches the Rfam family "Bacterial small subunit ribosomal RNA", at positions 992 to 1393 of the family's 1533-position model. Lineage: Bacteria; Bacillati; Bacillota; Bacilli; Caryophanales; Staphylococcaceae. The record is from RNAcentral.